RNAcentral lists this ribosomal RNA (117 nucleotides) under Olea europaea subsp. europaea. The record is from RNAcentral. Lineage: Eukaryota; Viridiplantae; Streptophyta; Magnoliopsida; Lamiales; Oleaceae.
AUAAAGAGUGCGCCACGUUGAAUACACCAUUUCUCGUCCGAUCACUGAAGUUAAGCGACGUCGGGUGUGGUCAGUACUUAUAUGGGUGACCAUCUAGGAGAUCACGUGUUGUUGGUU